This 128-nucleotide non-coding RNA is filed under the name Notamacropus eugenii (tammar wallaby). Lineage: Eukaryota; Metazoa; Chordata; Mammalia; Diprotodontia; Macropodidae. The record is from RNAcentral.
GUGUUGUGUGAAAAAAAGAGAAUGUUAGUAUUCCUUUUGAUGAGAAUGGAUGAAAUCCAGUGACUUGUAUGACAUAUACAUGGUUAAGGCAUUGCUGCCUACUCUUUGGAACUUAAUCAUAUUUUUCU